UGGGGAGACGGGUGGAGAGCGCCGGAGGGGGAAUAGGAGGAGGGGUGGUUUGGGUUUUUGGUUUUGCUAAACUUGGGUCUCUGGGAAUUGGUGUGUUACACGGUAGUUCCGGCCUGCGGUCUCUUCCAUGAGGACGAGAGUUUCUGACCCACAGGAAGGUGCUAUCAACAGGCAGAGUCAAACGCUCAACAGAAGCUUUCUGAGUCCUGUGUUCCUGACUCUCCACGAUUAUUCCAGCAAGCAGGAUCGUUGUCAGACUGCUAGUUUUCUUUUGUGAUGUGAUUGAGCAUUACUGCAACUCGAAUGUCAGUACAAUUCUCACGUCCGUCUACAUUUCUCCAUUAAACAUGCUGGAACGUG
Hyaena hyaena (striped hyena) is the source of this 360-nucleotide long non-coding RNA. RefSeq lists it as uncharacterized. The transcript has 2 exons. Lineage: Eukaryota; Metazoa; Chordata; Mammalia; Carnivora; Hyaenidae. The record is from RefSeq and is a predicted model, not a curated record.